This 24-nucleotide microRNA is filed under the name Zea mays. RNAcentral describes it as "microRNA miR-3126". Lineage: Eukaryota; Viridiplantae; Streptophyta; Magnoliopsida; Poales; Poaceae. The record is from RNAcentral.
AGAGGAUUUGAGUUUUAAAACUAG